Podarcis raffonei (Aeolian wall lizard) is the source of this 324-nucleotide long non-coding RNA. RefSeq lists it as uncharacterized. NCBI's taxonomy places the organism in Eukaryota, Metazoa, Chordata, Lepidosauria, Squamata, Lacertidae. The record is from RefSeq and is a predicted model, not a curated record. The transcript is spliced from 3 exons.
CAGGUUCAACUCCCAGCAUCUCGAGGUUGGGCAGAAACCCCAGAGAGCCUCUUGCCAAACAGGAGUUGGAUACCUAGUUGCCAGCUUAUCUGACAAACAGCCCAGUCUGCUCUUGUGCGUUUGACACCAGCCUGAUGUGAAGAAAUCCACGUGCAAAGGCUAGAGAUUAUCAGCUGCUCAUCUUAAAAGUGGUAUUUGAGGGGCAGUGUUCAGUUUCAGCAAAGGACACAGUGGAAUGUGACACUGGAGGGCGAAACAAAGCAACCAUCGACCAGCAGCUUUGGAAAAUGGUGUGGCCGGUUAUUACUUACAUUGGACGAAAAA